Molecule: ribosomal RNA, 469 nt
Filed under: Lactobacillus sp. oral taxon H25
Lineage: Bacteria; Bacillati; Bacillota; Bacilli; Lactobacillales; Lactobacillaceae
Description: bacterial SSU rRNA
Rfam family: Bacterial small subunit ribosomal RNA
Source: RNAcentral
GACGAACGCUGGCGGCGUGCCUAAUACAUGCAAGUCGAGCGAGCUGAACCAACAGAUUUACUUCGGUAAUGACGUUGGGAACGCGAGCGGCGGAUGGGUGAGUAACACGUGGGGAACCUGCCCCUCAGUCUGGGAUACCACUUGGAAACAGGUGCUAAUACCGGAUAAUAAAGCAGAUCGCAUGAUCAGCUUUUGAAAGGCGGCGUAAGCUGUCGCUAAGGGAUGGCCCCGCGGUGCAUUAGCUAGUUGGUAGGGUAACGGCCUACCAAGGCAAUGAUGCAUAGCCGAGUUGAGAGACUGAUCGGCCGCAUUGGGACUGAGACACGGCCCAAACUCCUACGGGAGGCAGCAGUAGGGAAUCUUCCACAAUGGACGAAAGUCUGAUGGAGCAACGCCGCGUGAGUGAAGGAGGUUUUCGGAUCGUAAAGCUCUGUUGUUGGUGAAGAAGGAUAGAGGUAGUAACGGCCUU